AAAAAAAAAAAAGAAAAGAAAAGUCCAAACUCCAAAUCUUCUCCAUUCUUUUAUGGCACUGCAAUACUAAGCCCCAUCUGCUAAUGUCCUCUUUGAUGUACUAAUGUACAGAACAUUGUUUCCACGAAUAAAAGCAUCGCCAUACUUGUUCUUCAAUUGCCCAUUAACAUAUUCUUCAGUUUGUUCCAUUGCUAUGUUCAUAUAUCCAUCUAAACAUGCUAAAAUACCUGCACAAGAGUAUUCAAGUACCAAAAAUCCAGUUAAAGACAUGCUUCUGUAAUAUUGCCAAACAAAUUGAGCAUGCAAGCCAAUCCAAAUCCACCCACCUCAAAAUAAAUAAAUAAAAAUAAAAGAAAAUCGCCUCCCUCCCACCACCUCACUUCCAACUGUUAGAGGUUAAAAUGUGAGAGAAUACAACAGAGGACACAACACAUCAAAACCUUUGACUUGGGUAAAACAAAAGGAGAGGAUAAUUCUUGCAGAAGAAACUCAAGGGGCCAAUGCCCAGUCAGAAGAUCCAAGGUUAGAAAUUGUCUGCUACCUUCUAAUAGACAUAUACACAUCUGGACUUAGCUGUCAUUAGGUCCAGUGUUAGAAAUCAAUCAAAUCAUCUAAUGCUUUGCAAAAUGUCCAAAAAGAAGGUAAUAAAGAUAGCAAUGGGUUUCUAAUUUUAUGUCAUCUUAAAUGUAUUCCAUAACAUUCACCUUCACCCUUAAAAUAGGUAAAUAACAAAGGACCAUUGUUUGUGUAGCUUGAGUUGGCUAUCAGUUGAUUGACAGAUUAUUGAGUAUGGGAUGCCUGCGAUGGGCCAUCUAUGAACCAUGCCAUUUUGUUUUGUAGCCUAAAUUGAAUUCUGAGGCAAUGAGAUUUACUUUGGUAGAACCAAUCAGAAAAGUAGGGAUGAAAAUUGUUGAUAAAAAUUAAGCAUUCAAUAUUCUGGUAAUAAUAUUUUUCUUUAGCUUUGUUAAAUUUUUAUUUAAAGUUGAAUAUCAUUUCAAUUAGAAUACUUCCAUUCUUUGUUUCUUGGGCAGUUACGCAACAAGCUGCAUUGCAACCAAAAAGGGCACUAGAAUUGCAAGUUAUCAGAAAUCGUCUGUUGGAACAAAUUUGUUACCUAUCUCCAAUAUCGUUGCAUCAAGCUCCUCAAGACAGUUUUGAACCAAAGCUAAAUAUUGAUCAGAGCAGAUAAUUUCCAAGAUCAUCAUAUUGUCUGUGUGACUCGCCCAUAGUGUGAGUUUAAAUUUCCACAGGAUAGCCUAUUUUAAACUUUAAAAGCUAUAUACAUGACCAAUAAUAUCUAACCUUAAAGGGAAAAGCACCUCUGUAUAAAAAUAAAAAUUGAAUAAAAUAUGUAAAAAAAAAAGGACUAAUAGCAUUGAAAGAGAACCUCGAUAAUCAACACCAGAAUUCAGUUUGACAACAACUGGUCGCCCACGAAUUGAUUUCAAGAAGUCUGCAGGGGUUUUUGUGGUUGUCGACCCCUUCUCUCCCCCUCCGCUCAUCUUUAUUUUAUCUUCCGAUUUUAGGGUUUCGAUUUUGGAUGCAGAGGAGAUAGCAAGAGCGAGGGGAAACUGAACAGGCAGAAGCCGAAGUCCGAGUUUAUAU
RNAcentral lists this unclassified non-coding RNA (1605 nucleotides) under Hevea brasiliensis (rubber tree). The record is from RNAcentral. Lineage: Eukaryota; Viridiplantae; Streptophyta; Magnoliopsida; Malpighiales; Euphorbiaceae.